UUGAGUAAGCUCCUGACUACCAACACUGGGAGGAUACAGAGAAGAUGACCAUAGUCCCUGAGCAUGGAUGAUAUGCAAAUUUGUGAAACAUUCCACAUUUUA
Small nuclear RNA from Meriones unguiculatus (Mongolian gerbil), 102 nucleotides. NCBI's taxonomy places the organism in Eukaryota, Metazoa, Chordata, Mammalia, Rodentia, Muridae. The record is from Ensembl.